CCUCUCUAGGACUUGGAAAGGUUAGUUUCAGUGUAAGGCUUUCGUUGAGAACUACGACACUUCAUGUCUAAGCCAGUGCCUCUACGGUAUCAUCUACCACUAUGUUUCUCAUAAUCGGUGUUAGGUUUACCAAGAAGAGAGUGUGCAGCAAAAACGGAUCAUUUCCAUUUAGCAAUGUAACCCAGACUACCAUACUGGAACGUGUAUGCUACUGUCAUAUUUGUAGGGAAGGCCAAUAUGUGUUUUACGAUUUAUAUGAUAUUUUUAGUCAUGUUCAAAGAAUCUAUCAUUUUAUUUUCUUUCGUUGCGCAACACACUUUCAUACAAGGUGAUUUGAAGUUAGCUAGGUAAUGCAAUUGGAGUGGUAGGUUAACUUGAAUGAAUGUAAAUGUGCUACACUGGCAUGUUAAUGUGAAUGUGAAAUACUUUCGGCAAUUCAUGCAAUUCGGUUUCAGCUAUAA
Long non-coding RNA from Papaver somniferum (opium poppy), 461 nucleotides. RefSeq lists it as uncharacterized. The transcript is spliced from 2 exons. The record is from RefSeq and is a predicted model, not a curated record. Lineage: Eukaryota; Viridiplantae; Streptophyta; Magnoliopsida; Ranunculales; Papaveraceae.